This 569-nucleotide long non-coding RNA is filed under the name Danio rerio (zebrafish). RNAcentral describes it as "si:dkey-221l4.9 (ENSDARG00000097490.2)". The record is from RNAcentral. Lineage: Eukaryota; Metazoa; Chordata; Actinopteri; Cypriniformes; Danionidae.
GAAAUGUAAGGCUUUUGAAAAAAGUAAAACGAAUAUUAAAAGGAAAUAAAACUGCAUUCGAUGGAGGAAUGCAUCUUCUGUAAACUUUACAGCAAAACGAGCUGGCCAUGCGUACUUGAUUCUGAAUGCUAACUACUAAAUGCAGAAGAGACGAAAGAAAAGAAGACGAUUAUGGAAGUCAACCUAGCGUUUUGUACAACACAAAGACACUUCUGGUUUACUCUUUGCUUUGUGAAUGCAACGGACUGACAGUUGGUCUUUGCUUUAACGGUUUUGACUGGCUCACUUCCGAGGUUUUGGGUGUAAAAGGUAAGCCUGCACCAGCAUUCAAAAAUCUUUCACAGCUCGAGAGUAUCGCAUUCAAAUACUGUAUAUAGUGUGGUAAGGGCUUCAUUUCUUUGGCUGUUGGGCUUCUUUGUUUUUGCUCGUUGCUGCCUCCGCUUUGCGAGCAUCUGAUGAGUGAAAGUGUUCUUGCGAGGUGCAGCAAGCUGCUCCAUUUCCUCAUCAAACAGGAAGUCCAGCUCCUCCUGGUCGGCUUCAGGCUGAGGCUUUGGGGUGGACUGAACCAA